This 397-nucleotide long non-coding RNA is filed under the name Cyanistes caeruleus (blue tit). RNAcentral's name for it is "lncRNA (ENSCCEG00000017154.1)". Lineage: Eukaryota; Metazoa; Chordata; Aves; Passeriformes; Paridae. The record is from RNAcentral.
GGGAAAUAAAUAACACUGAUUUCAGUUUACCUGGAAAAUAACACUGACUCCAGUUUACCUGCACCUGAGCUUUGUUUUGAGAGCUCCUCUGAUCUACAUAAACAUGUUGAAACACAGAGUGAUUCAGGUGCCUACAGCUGUGAUGUUGGAGGAUGUGGUUUCAUUUCAUGGACUUCACCAACUUUGAGACAGCACUGCAAGACAGGCUUUUACAACUGUGAAAAUCUUGUCACUGAUGCUGUUAGAAGAAAUUUUUUUAGCCCUGCAAGUUGAAUCCACAGAAGAGAGUACAGAAAUAUAUGAAUGGCUUCUGCAGUUUAAACAAGCUGUUCCUUCCAUUUUGGGAUGAGAAAAUCCAACAAAUAAAAUAUUAAUAUGAAUAUCUAUCUCCUAAUUU